RNAcentral lists this unclassified non-coding RNA (280 nucleotides) under uncultured Sordariomycetes. Its description in RNAcentral is "sequence contains 5.8S rRNA gene, ITS2, 28S rRNA gene". The record is from RNAcentral. Lineage: Eukaryota; Fungi; Ascomycota; Sordariomycetes.
AACGCACAUUGCGCCCGCCAGCACUCUGGCGGGCAUGCCUGUCCGAGCGUCACCUACAACCCUCAGGCCCUAGCUUGCCUGGUGUUGGGGCGCUACGGUGCCACCGCGCGCCGUAGGCCCCCAAAAGCAGUGGCGGACCCGCCGGUAGACCGGGCGCAGUAGCACACGACUUCUCGCCCCGGGCCGCCGGCGUGCCCCAGCCGUAAAACCCCCGACGCAGGCCAGAGAUGGCCGACCACGAGUUGACCUCGGAUCAGGUAGGACUACCCGCUGAACUUAA